UACGGAGGGUGCAAGCGUUGUCCGGAUUCAUUGGGUUUAAAGGGUGCGCAGGCGGGCGAUUAAGUCAGGGGUGAAAGACGGUUGCUCAACAAUCGCAGUGCCUUUGAUACUGGUUGUCUUGGGUGACCUUGAGGUAGGCGGAAUGGGUGGUGUAGCGGUGAAAUGCAUAGAUACCACCCAGAACUCCGAUUGCGAAGGCAGCCUACUGGAGGUUCACCGACGCUCAGGCACGAAAGCGUGGGGAUCAAACAGG
This 253-nucleotide ribosomal RNA is filed under the name uncultured bacterium. Its description in RNAcentral is "partial 16S ribosomal RNA". It matches the Rfam family "Bacterial small subunit ribosomal RNA", at positions 524 to 776 of the family's 1533-position model. The record is from RNAcentral. RNAcentral also lists the same sequence under 1 other name.